ACGUGAUCUGAGUUCAGACCGGAGCAAUCCAGGUCAGUUUCUAUCUAUAAAGAGCUCUUUCCAGUACGAAAGGACCGAAAAAGCAUGGCCAAUACUUUAUGCAAGCCAUCUCCAAUAAUUUAUGAUUAUCACUUAAUAAAUAAUUUACUUCAAUUUACCUCAAGAAAAGAGA
This 172-nucleotide ribosomal RNA is filed under the name Ololygon sp. KAV2. Its description in RNAcentral is "partial 16S large subunit ribosomal RNA". Lineage: Eukaryota; Metazoa; Chordata; Amphibia; Anura; Hylidae. The record is from RNAcentral.